RNAcentral lists this ribosomal RNA (305 nucleotides) under uncultured bacterium. RNAcentral describes it as "bacterial SSU rRNA". It matches the Rfam family "Bacterial small subunit ribosomal RNA", at positions 334 to 637 of the family's 1533-position model. The record is from RNAcentral.
UUUUCCUACGGGGGGCAGCAGUGAGGAAUAUUGGUCAAUGGCCGGAAGGCUGAACCAGCCAAGCCGCGUGAAGGACGAAGGUGCCAAGCAUUGUAAACUUCUUUUGUCAAGGGACAAAAUCAGGCUCGAGAGCCUGACCGAGGGUACUUGAAGAAAAAGCAUCGGCUAACUCCGUGCCAGCAGCCGCGGUAAUACGGAGGAUGCGAGCGUUAUCCGGAUUUAUUGGGUUUAAAGGGUGCGCAGGCGGAAUGUCAAGUCAGCGGUAAAAUUUCGGGGCUCAACCCCGUCGUGCCGUCGAAACUGGG